This 471-nucleotide ribosomal RNA is filed under the name uncultured bacterium. RNAcentral describes it as "bacterial SSU rRNA". It matches the Rfam family "Bacterial small subunit ribosomal RNA", at positions 29 to 506 of the family's 1533-position model. The record is from RNAcentral.
AUGAACGCUGGCGGCGUGGAUAGGGCAUGCAAGUCAAGGGGACCGCAAGGUAACCGGCAGACGAGAUAGUAUAAAAUAGGUAACAAACCCAAGAGUCAGGAAUAGCUUGUCGAAAGACAAGGUAAUACUUGAUGGCCCGUGCGUGAACUUUGAACAUAAAUUUUUUGUGUUUAAAGUUCACGUACGGUAAAGAUUUAUCGCUUUUGGAUUGGCCUGUUCGGUAUCAGCUAGUUGGUAGGGUAAUGGCCUACCAAGGCAAUGACGCCUAGGGGAAGUGAGAGCUUGAUCCCCAUCGAUGGAACUGAGACACGGUCCAUACACCUACGGGUGGCUGCAGUCGAGAAUAUUCGACAAUGGGCGAAAGCCUGAUCGAGCGACGCCGCGUGGAGGAAGAAGUGCUUCGGCAUGUAAACUCCUUUUGUAGACUAGUAAUUUUUGAACAGUCUAAGAAUAAGAGGUUGCUAAACUCGU